RNAcentral lists this ribosomal RNA (427 nucleotides) under uncultured bacterium. Its description in RNAcentral is "bacterial SSU rRNA". It matches the Rfam family "Bacterial small subunit ribosomal RNA", at positions 355 to 774 of the family's 1533-position model. The record is from RNAcentral.
UGGGGAAUUUUGGACAAUGGGCGCAAGCCUGAUCCAGCCAUGCCGCGUGCGGGAAGAAGGCCUUCGGGUUGUAAACCGCUUUUGUCAGGGAAGAAAUCCUUUGAGCUAAUACCUCGGGGGGAUGACGGUACCUGAAGAAUAAGCACCGGCUAACUACGUGCCAGCAGCCGCGGUAAUACGUAGGGUGCGAGCGUUAAUCGGGAUUACUGGGCGUAAAGCGUGCGCAGGCGGUUUUGUAAGACAGAGGUGAAAUCCCCGGGCUCAACCUGGGAACUGCAUUUGUGACUGCAUAGCUGGAGUGCGGCAGAGGGGGAUGGAAUUCCGCGUGUAGCAGUGAAAUGCGUAGAUAUGCGGAGGAACACCGAUGGCGAAGGCAAUCCCCUGGGCCUGCACUGGCGCUCAUGCACGAAAGCGUGGGGAGCAAACA